UACGUAGGGGGCAAGCGUUGUCCGGAAUUAUUGGGCGUAAAGAGCUCGUAGGCGGCUUGUCGCGUCGUCCGUGAAAACUUGGGGCUCAACCCCAAGCUUGCGGUCGAUACGGGCAGGCUCGAGUUCGGUAGGGGAGACUGGAAUUCCUGGUGUAGCGGUGAAAUGCGCAGAUAUCUGGAGGAAUACCGGUGGCGAAGGCGGCAUCCUGGACCGGCAUUGACGCUGAUGAGCGAAAGCUAGGGGAGCAAACGGG
This 253-nucleotide ribosomal RNA is filed under the name uncultured bacterium. RNAcentral describes it as "partial 16S ribosomal RNA". It matches the Rfam family "Bacterial small subunit ribosomal RNA", at positions 524 to 776 of the family's 1533-position model. The record is from RNAcentral.